This 291-nucleotide ribosomal RNA is filed under the name Triticum aestivum (bread wheat). Its description in RNAcentral is "partial small subunit ribosomal RNA". Lineage: Eukaryota; Viridiplantae; Streptophyta; Magnoliopsida; Poales; Poaceae. The record is from RNAcentral.
AAAUUGAAACAACGCAACCGUACUAUCUAUUUACAAUAAUUUGAUUGCUGACAACACGACAACAUCACGCUUCUCUUUCUUAUUCUUAUUUAUAUAACUGUCACUUUACCGGGCCGGAAAAGUGACACCGUCACGUCUCAGGGUCGUAUGCCUGGAACAAGAAGGGUCGUCGUACAAUUUCGGCGAUUACAAAAAAGAAGGAGGCGUUCCCUAUCCCUCUUUGUCUUUCCACUUCCCGAACAAACACUUUGCCAAAUUCUUUUGAGUCCCGGCCCGGUUUUUCCCCACUAA